RNAcentral lists this ribosomal RNA (703 nucleotides) under uncultured Basidiomycota. Its description in RNAcentral is "LSU rRNA". It matches the Rfam family "Eukaryotic large subunit ribosomal RNA", at positions 530 to 1236 of the family's 3401-position model. Lineage: Eukaryota; Fungi; Basidiomycota. The record is from RNAcentral.
AGGAUGUGUUAUAGCCCAGGGUCGCAUACAGUGGUUGGGAUUGAGGAAUUCAGCACGCCGCAAGGCCGGGUUUCGACCACGUUCGUGCUUAGGAUGCUGGCAUAAUGGCUUUAAUCGACCCGUCUUGAAACACGGACCAAGGAGUCUAACAUGCCUGCGAGUGUUUGGGUGGAAAAACCCAUGCGCGCAAUGAAAGUGAAAGUUGAGAUCCCCCUCAAAAGGGAGCAUUGACGCCCGGACCAGACCUUCUGUGACGGAUCCGCGGUAGAGCAUGUAUGUUGGGACCCGAAAGAUGGUGAACUAUGCCUGAAUAGGGUGAAGCCAGAGGAAACUCUGGUGGAGGCUCGUAGCGAUUCUGACGUGCAAAUCGAUCGUCAAAUUUGGGUAUAGGGGCGAAAGACUAAUCGAGCCAUCUAGUAGCUGGUUCCUGCCGAAGUUUCCCUCAGGAUAGCAGAAACUCAUUAUCAGAUUUAUGUGGUAAAGCGAAUGAUUAGAGGCCCUGGGGUUGAAACAACCUUAACCUAUUCUCAAACUUUAAAUAUGUAAGAACGGGCCGUCUCUUGACUGGACCGCUCGACGAUUGAGAGUUUCUAGUGGGCCAUUUUUGGUAAGCAGAACUGGCGAUGCGGGAUGAACCGAACGCGAGGUUAAGGUGCCGGAAUUCACGCUCAUCAGACACCACAAAAGGUGUUGGUUCAUCUAG